RNAcentral lists this ribosomal RNA (424 nucleotides) under Verrucomicrobiota bacterium. Its description in RNAcentral is "Verrucomicrobia bacterium partial 16S ribosomal RNA". It matches the Rfam family "Bacterial small subunit ribosomal RNA", at positions 355 to 776 of the family's 1533-position model. The record is from RNAcentral. Lineage: Bacteria; Pseudomonadati; Verrucomicrobiota.
UGAGGAAUAUUGGUCAAUGGACGCAAGUCUGAACCAGCCAAGUAGCGUGCAGGAUGACGGCCCUAUGGGUUGUAAACUGCUUUUAUAUGGGGAUAAAGUGGGGAACGUGUUCCCUUUUGCAGGUACCAUAUGAAUAAGGACCGGCUAAUUCCGUGCCAGCAGCCGCGGUAAUACGGAAGGUUCGGGCGUUAUCCGGAUUUGUUGGGUUUAAAGGGAGCGUAGGCCGUUUGGUAAGCGUGUUGUGAAAUGUAGGAGCUCAACUUCUAGAUUGCAGCGCGAACUGUCAGACUUGAGUGCGCACAACGUAGGCGGAAUUCAUGGUGUAGCGGUGAAAUGCUUAGAUAUCAUGACGAACUCCGAUUGCGAAGGCAGCUUACGGGAGCGCAACUGACGCUAAAGCUCGAAGGUGCGGGUAUCGAACAGG